UGUGUGUGUGUGUUUGUGUGUGGUGUGUGUGUGUGUGUGUGUGUGUGUGUGUGUGUGUGUGUGUGUGUGUGUGUGUGUGUGUGUGUGUUUCUCUCUUUCAGUAAUAGUUAUUUGUGUGUUAUUAUCCCUGACUGUGUGUCUGUGUGUCGCUGUGGGGAUGUUCUACAUCAGAAUGAAAAAGAGGAACACACACACUCCAGUGAGUGAAAAGAAAGAGCCUGACGAUUUGGUGUACGUCCAGGUGACCACUGGUAGCAAUGGCAGAAGACAAAUAUCAGACAUUCAAGGUACAAGAGUGGAAACAGAGGAUGUGGUGUAUUCUGGCGUUGCCAUGGCAAAUAGGAGCAGCAGGCAUAAAAGCAGGAAGCCACCAGCAGCUGAGGCGUAUGAGUUGGAGUAUGCUGAGGUGUCUGCCUUCAGUAAGCGACGGGGCCCAACUGAGAGUCACAGGCCAGAGGAGUCGGUUGAGUACGGGGAAGUGAGAGUCCACACAUCACACUGACCCACAGCAGGCAGACAGUGUGUAUGCUCA
Long non-coding RNA from Clupea harengus (Atlantic herring), 532 nucleotides. The record is from Ensembl. Lineage: Eukaryota; Metazoa; Chordata; Actinopteri; Clupeiformes; Clupeidae.